UAGCGGAGGAAAAGAAACUAACAAGGAUUCCCCUAGUAGCGGCGAGCGAAGCGGGAAGAGCUCAAAUUUAUAAUCUGGCACCUUCGGUGUCCGAGUUGUAAUCUCUAGAAAUGUUUUCCGCGUUGGACCGCACACAAGUCUGUUGGAAUACAGCGGCAUAGUGGUGAGACCCCCGUAUAUGGUGCGGACGCCCAGCGCUUUGUGAUACAUUUUCGAAGAGUCGAGUUGUUUGGGAAUGCAGCUCAAAUUGGGUGGUAAAUUCCAUCUAAAGCUAAAUAUUGGCGAGAGACCGAUAGCGAACAAGUACCGUGAGGGAAAGAUGAAAAGCACUUUGGAAAGAGAGUUAACAGUACGUGAAAUUGUUGGAAGGGAAACGCUUGAAGUCAGACUUGCUUGCCGAGCAAUCGGUUUGCAGGCCAGCAUCAGUUUUCCGGGAUGGAUAAUGGUAGAGAGAAGGUAGCAGUUUCGGCUGUGUUAUAGCUCUCUGCUGGAUACAUCUUGGGGGACUGAGGAACGCAGUGUGCCUUUGGCGGGGGUUUCGACCUCU
This 547-nucleotide ribosomal RNA is filed under the name Rhodotorula mucilaginosa. RNAcentral's name for it is "LSU rRNA". It matches the Rfam family "Eukaryotic large subunit ribosomal RNA", at positions 48 to 610 of the family's 3401-position model. The record is from RNAcentral. Lineage: Eukaryota; Fungi; Basidiomycota; Microbotryomycetes; Sporidiobolales; Sporidiobolaceae.